GAUGAAGAACGUAGCGAAAUGCGAUAAGUAAUGUGAAUUGCAGAAUUCCGUGAAUCAUCGAAUCUUUGAACGCAUAUUGCGCCCUCUGGCAUUCCGGGGGGCAUGCCUGUCCGAGCGUCAUUAUUUAUCUUCAAGCACGGCUUGUGUGUUGAGCAUUCUGGUUCUUUCCAGAGGCUUGAAAUGCAGUGGCGAUGCCGAGAUUUGGGUGCCCGAGCGUAUGGGGCUUUGUCGCACGCUCUGUAGGCNCGGCCGGCGCUUGCCGAUCAACCCAAAUUUUUAUCCAGGUUGACCUCGGAUCAGGUAGGGAUACCCGCUGAACUUAAGCAUAUCAAUAAGCGGAGGA
This 343-nucleotide unclassified non-coding RNA is filed under the name soil metagenome. Its description in RNAcentral is "partial contains 5.8S ribosomal RNA, internal transcribed spacer 2, and large subunit ribosomal RNA". The stretch from base 1 to 120 matches the Rfam family "5.8S ribosomal RNA", at positions 35 to 154 of the family's 154-position model. The record is from RNAcentral.